RNAcentral lists this ribosomal RNA (496 nucleotides) under uncultured bacterium. RNAcentral's name for it is "partial 16S ribosomal RNA". It matches the Rfam family "Bacterial small subunit ribosomal RNA", at positions 29 to 507 of the family's 1533-position model. The record is from RNAcentral.
AUGAACGCUGGCGGCGUGCCUAAUACAUGCAAGUCGCGCGAACGGACGAGAAGCUUGCUUCUCUGAUGUUAGCGGCGGACGGGUGAGUAACACGUGGAUAACCUACCUAUAAGACUGGGAUAACUUCGGGAAACCGGAGCUAAUACCGGAUGAUAUUUUGAACCGCAUGGUUCAAAAGUGAAAGACGGUCUUGCUGUCACUUAUAGAUGGAUCCGCGCUGCAUUAGCUAGUUGGUAAGGUAACGGCUUACCAAGGCAACGAUGCGUAGCCGACCUGAGAGGGUGAUCGGCCACACUGGAACUGAGACACGGUCCAGACUCCUACGGGAGGCAGCAGUAGGGAAUCUUCCGCAAUGGGCGAAAGCCUGACGGAGCAACGCCGCGUGAGUGAUGAAGGUCUUCGGAUCGUAAAACUCUGUUAUUAGGGAAGAACAUAUGUGUAAGUAACUGUGCACAUCUUGACGGUACCUAAUCAGAAAGCCACGGCUAACUACGUG